GAUGAACGCUGGCGGCGUGCCUAAUACAUGCAAGUCGAGCGAACGGACGAGAAGCUUGCUUGUCUGAUGUUAGCGGCGCACGUGAGUAUCACGCGUGGAUCCCGUACCUAUCAGACUGGUAUCACCUCGGGACACCGGCUCUAAUACCGGAUGAUCUUUUGACCCGCAUGGUUCAAAAGUGAAAGACGGUGUUGCUGGCACUUAUAGAUGGAUCCGCGCUGCAUUAGCUAGUCGGUAAGUUAACGGCUUACCAAGGCAACGAUGCAUGGCCGACCUGAGAGGGUGAUAGGCGACACUGGAACGGAGACACGGACCAUACGCCUACGAGACGGAGCAGUAGGGAAUCGGCCGCAAUGGGGGAAAGCCUGACGGAGCGACGCCGCGUGAGUGAUGAAGGUCUUGGGAGCGGAAAACGCGGUUACUAGGGAAGAACAUAUGUGGAAGGAACUGUGCACAGCGUGACGGUACCGAAUCAGAAAGCCACGGCUAACUACGUG
This 497-nucleotide ribosomal RNA is filed under the name uncultured bacterium. RNAcentral's name for it is "partial 16S ribosomal RNA". It matches the Rfam family "Bacterial small subunit ribosomal RNA", at positions 28 to 507 of the family's 1533-position model. The record is from RNAcentral.